Molecule: long non-coding RNA, 2646 nt
Organism: Capra hircus (goat)
Lineage: Eukaryota; Metazoa; Chordata; Mammalia; Artiodactyla; Bovidae
Gene: HNRNPF
Product: heterogeneous nuclear ribonucleoprotein F
Exons: 3
Source: RefSeq, a predicted model, not a curated record
CCCCCUCCUCGCUGCCCCAGGAACUCCCCCUCCCCCACCUACCCUGCGUGCCCAGGAAGUCCCCUCGACCCGACCCGGGAGCUCCGCCCCCAGCCCCGGGAGCCGCCCGCCCCCCUCGGGUCCCGGGAACUGUUCCUCGCGCCUCCUCGGAGCCCCUCGGAUUCGAGAGCUCCGCCUGCCCUCCCUCGCGGCUCCGGGAAGCCCGGGCCGGAGAACUCUUUCCCACUUCGCCGCGAAGACUUUCGUCUUUCUCCACGGCCUGAAAACUCUGCCACCCUAGUGAGUCCCUAGUGAGUCCCCGCUGGCCUGGGAGCCCCCUCCCACCCCGGGCCACGGGAGCCUACGUCGCGUGACCUUCCCCUCCCCCCACCUCGCGCAGCCCGGGAAGCCUCUCCCUCCCCCAACCCGUAGUUCGCCCCGCCCCGGAAGCUCCCGCUGACCCCGCCCAGGCCCGUGGAUGGGGCGCCCUGUCGUCGGGCCUUCCUGUAGGGCUUUCACCCAAGGCUGUCGGAUCGGCGGUUGGAGGCCGAGCGAACCCCUUCACGUCCCAGUCCCCCCGCCAGGAGCCUAGCGUCCGGGACUGAUACCGCGCUUCCCGCCGAAAUCGCUCAGACGCGCCCCUGGCGGCCCGCGGCCGCGAGCUUGAGAGCGCACUUUGAAGCCUGGACGAUUCAUUACCUACCUGGAGUGUCUUCGACUGUGGGCAUCCCCCGGUGUUCUUUAAGCCACACAAAGCUGCACCCAAGCUUGUUUGACGUCUGCUCUGUCGAGUGUCCAUGAUGUUGGGCCCUGAGGGAGGUGAAGGCUUUGUGGUCAAGCUCCGUGGCCUGCCCUGGUCCUGCUCUGUUGAGGAUGUGCAGAAUUUCCUCUCCGACUGCACGAUCCAUGACGGGGUCGCAGGUGUUCAUUUUAUCUACACUAGAGAAGGCAGGCAGAGUGGUGAGGCUUUUGUUGAACUUGAAUCAGAAGAUGAUGUAAAAUUGGCCCUUAAAAAAGACAGGGAAAGCAUGGGACAUCGGUACAUUGAAGUGUUCAAGUCCCACAGAACCGAGAUGGAUUGGGUGUUGAAGCACAGUGGUCCAAACAGUGCUGACACUGCCAACGAUGGUUUCGUGCGACUUCGAGGACUCCCGUUUGGAUGCACCAAGGAAGAGAUCAUUCAGUUCUUCUCAGGGUUGGAAAUCGUGCCAAACGGGAUCACAUUGCCUGUGGACCCCGAGGGCAAGAUUACAGGGGAAGCCUUUGUGCAGUUUGCCUCACAGGAGUUAGCAGAGAAGGCUCUAGGGAAGCACAAGGAGAGAAUAGGGCACAGGUAUAUUGAGGUGUUCAAGAGCAGUCAGGAAGAAGUUAGGUCAUACUCGGAUCCCCCACUGAAGUUCAUGUCAGUGCAGCGGCCAGGGCCCUAUGACCGCCCUGGCACAGCCAGGAGGUAUAUUGGCAUCGUCAAGCAGGCAGGCCUGGAGAGGAUGAGGUCUGGUGCCUACAGUGCAGGCUAUGGGGGUUAUGAGGAGUACAGCGGCCUCAGUGAUGGCUAUGGCUUCACCACCGACCUGUUUGGGAGAGACCUCAGUUACUGUCUCUCUGGAAUGUACGACCACCGGUAUGGAGAUGGCGAGUUCACUGUCCAGAGCACCACUGGACACUGCGUCCACAUGAGAGGUCUGCCCUACAAAGCCACAGAGAACGACAUUUACAACUUCUUCUCCCCCCUCAACCCUGUGAGAGUCCACAUUGAGAUUGGCCCUGAUGGAAGAGUGACCGGCGAAGCUGAUGUUGAAUUUGCCACUCAUGAAGAAGCCGUGGCGGCCAUGUCCAAAGACAGGGCCAACAUGCAACAUCGAUACAUAGAACUUUUCUUGAAUUCCACAACAGGGGCCAGCAACGGGGCAUAUAGCAGCCAGAUGAUGCAAGGCAUGGGGGUGUCAACCCAGUCCACUUACAGUGGCCUUGAGAGCCAGUCUGUGAGCGGCUGUUAUGGGGCUGGCUAUGGUGGCCAGAAUAGCAUGGGUGGAUAUGACUAGUUUUGUUAGUAGCUUUUGAGUUAUUUCAGUCAAAUUUUCACAGGCAGCCAACAAGCAGUGAAAAGCAGUUAUUACUCUAGAGGAAGCUAUGGGACCCAUUUUGCACCAUGAGUUUGUGAAAUCUGGAUUAAAAAAUUACCUCUUCAGUGUUUUCUCAUGCAAACUUUCUUCUAGCAUGUGAUAUUGAGUAAACUAAAACUAUUUUCAGCUUUUCUCAAUUAACAUUUUGGUAGUGUACUUCUGGAGUGAUGUUAUCUGAGUUUAAAGUAGAUUUAAGUAUGUUAAAUGUGGAUCUUUUACACCACAUCAUCGUGAACACAUUGGGGAGGCGUGCUUUUUUGGAAAACUCAAGGUGCUAGAUCCCUAAUUCAAAGAGGACAUUUCUCAUGUUUGUUCAUUCUAGUUUAUUUUCAUUUAAAAUCUCUUAGGUUAAGUUUAAGCUUUUUAAAAGUUAGUUUUGAAAAUUGAGACACAUUACUAAUACUGUAGGAAUUGGUGAGGCCUUGACUUAAAAACUUUCUUUGUACUGUGAUUUCCUUUCGGGUGUAUUUUGCUAAGUGAAACUUGUUAAAUUUUUUUGUUAACUAAAUUUUUUUCUUAAAAUAAAAAGACUUUUUCACAAUGA